Molecule: non-coding RNA, 45 nt
Organism: Schistosoma mansoni
Lineage: Eukaryota; Metazoa; Platyhelminthes; Trematoda; Strigeidida; Schistosomatidae
Source: Rfam
AUCCAGCUGAUGAGCCCCACAUAGAACGAAACGUGCGUCCUGAGU